RNAcentral lists this ribosomal RNA (477 nucleotides) under uncultured bacterium. RNAcentral describes it as "partial 16S ribosomal RNA". It matches the Rfam family "Bacterial small subunit ribosomal RNA", at positions 28 to 507 of the family's 1533-position model. The record is from RNAcentral.
GAUUAACGCUGGCGGCGUGCAUAACACAUGCAAGUCGAACGAUGAAACUUAGUAGACUUCUUCGUAAAGACACCAACCGGCGUAGUGGCGAACGGGUGAGUAACGCCUUAUUAACCUGCCUUACACAAGGGGAUAGCCUGUUGAUACGAAGAAUAAUACUCUAUAAAACCAUAAAAGCACAUGCUAGAAUGUUCAACGUGAUAGUGGUGGAAGCGGGACUUGCGUCUUAUUAUCUUGAUGGAGAGAUAAAAGCACACCAAGGUAAAGAUCAGUAGCCGGAAUGAGAGAGUGGUCCGCCACCCUGCGGCUGGGACACGGCCCAGACUCCCACGGGAGGCAGCAGGGGGGAAGGUUGCACGAUGGGGGAAAGCCUGAUGCAGCGACGCCGCGUGAUUUAGAAGUCCGGGGGGUAGUAAAAAUCUUUUGUAUAGGAAGAACAUGACAGUACUAUACGAAUAAGGCCCGGCUAAUUACGUG